GACUUGGUAGCUCAGUUGGUAGAGCAUCUCCCUUUUAAGGAGAGGGUCCUGGGUUCGAGCCCCAGGCAAGUCA
Molecule: transfer RNA, 73 nt
Filed under: Flavobacteriaceae bacterium
Lineage: Bacteria; Pseudomonadati; Bacteroidota; Flavobacteriia; Flavobacteriales; Flavobacteriaceae
Description: tRNA-Lys
Rfam family: tRNA
About the family: Transfer RNA (tRNA) molecules are approximately 80 nucleotides in length. Their secondary structure includes four short double-helical elements and three loops (D, anti-codon, and T loops).
Source: RNAcentral